CCCCCCUCGCCCUCACCACCCUAGGCUCGCUCACUUUCAACUCGCGGUGAGCGCCGCCAUGUCUACUCCUACUCUCUUUUCCCGGUGUCUCCUUCGGACUCGCACCGGGUCCACUGGGCCCGCAUGCAGAUUCACUAUUGGCCCCACCUGGAAGAAGCAAUUUUAACAAUCUCUCGCGGCUCCGGCGUUUCAGGGCGGAGGAGCCCUCAACUACUUUGCAUACCCCGCCCCUUCCCCAGGAAGGCGUGGCUACCGCCAGGGACUUCCUCUCUUCCGCGCACCCACUGACAAAAACAGAACCCGGCAUGAAGAUGUGAAUUUGCUGUCAACAUACAUUAUAUACAAACAGAAUAUGAUAAAUUGUGAUAUAAAGGUGUAUUAAGAAUUGUACGUAAAAAAUAUAAGAGAGCUCAUGUGUAAUGGCAUAAUUUGGCGUGAACAUUCUUUAUAUAGUUACGAAAAAUUGUGCUGUGAAUGGAUAUUUAUGAAUGUAAUGCACUUCACUAUUGUCAUGUAUGUAAGAAAUAAAUAAAUAAAUGGAUUAAUAAA
Molecule: long non-coding RNA, 549 nt
Filed under: Marmota monax (woodchuck)
Lineage: Eukaryota; Metazoa; Chordata; Mammalia; Rodentia; Sciuridae
Source: RNAcentral